Molecule: long non-coding RNA, 917 nt
Organism: Gadus morhua (Atlantic cod)
Lineage: Eukaryota; Metazoa; Chordata; Actinopteri; Gadiformes; Gadidae
Exons: 3
Source: RefSeq, a predicted model, not a curated record
UUGGGGUGCCAGGGAACUGUGCAGCCUGCAGUAAGCUGAUCCCUGCGUUCGAGAUGGUGAUGAGAGCUCGGGACAAUGUCUACCAUCUUGACCGCCAGCGACUCUGUGUGGGAGAUACCUUCUUCCUCAAGAACAACAUGAUCCUGUGCCAGGUUGACUGUGAUGGCGGCCGUCUUAAUGGCAGCACUGACAGGCAGUCACAAUAAGAGUGUCUACAGACUGGUCAGGAGGGACUAUCAAAUGGUACCGGGUGAUUAAGACGAAGGCUGGGACCUCAACAGGAGAACACAGAGGGACUAUCAUAUGGUACCGGGUGAUGAAGACGAAGGCUGGGACCUCAACAGGACACACAGAGGGACUCCUCAACACAACACCGCUUAAGAUCUGCAUCAGCUACUGGUUCUACUGGUGGUUUCUGCGGCAGGUUCUACUGGUCGGCUGCUGGUUCUACUGGUCUGCUGCUGGUUCUACUGGUGGUUCUGCUGGAGGUUCUGCUGCUGGUUCUACUGGUGGUUUCUGCGGCUGGUCCUACUGGUCUGCUGCUGGUUCUACUGGUCUACUGCUGUUCUACUGGUCUACUGCUGGUUCUACUGGUCUACUGUUGGUUCUACUGGUCUACUGCUGGUUCUACUGGUCUACUGCUGGUUCUGGUUUGGUUCUGUACACGUUGGACUACAGGCGUUCUAAAGUAAUCCUGAGAAACCCUUUGUGUUUCUCCGAUGGAUGUGAUACUGGUGAUGUCAUAGCAGGGGGCUCUUCACUGGACACUUGGACCUUGAAGGAUCAGUUCAUUGAUUGACUGAAAGAGUAGCACUGAAGAGCCGGUUCUCUUCGUAGUGGCCCCCCUUUGUAACAGAUUUAACAAGUUCAAUGUCAACCUCAUUUGAAAUGCAAACUAUAUAUUCAUUAUUUUAAUG